This 465-nucleotide ribosomal RNA is filed under the name Vreelandella stevensii. Its description in RNAcentral is "partial 16S ribosomal RNA". It matches the Rfam family "Bacterial small subunit ribosomal RNA", at positions 338 to 795 of the family's 1533-position model. Lineage: Bacteria; Pseudomonadati; Pseudomonadota; Gammaproteobacteria; Oceanospirillales; Halomonadaceae. The record is from RNAcentral.
CCUACGGGAGGCAGCAGUGGGGAAUAUUGGACAAUGGGCGAAAGCCUGAUCCAGCCAUGCCGCGUGUGUGAAGAAGGCCUUCGGGUUGUAAAGCACUUUCAGUGGGGAAGAAAGCCUUGGGGCUAAUACCCUCGAGGAAGGACAUCACCCACAGAAGAAGCACCGGCUAACUCCGUGCCAGCAGCCGCGGUAAUACGGAGGGUGCGAGCGUUAAUCGGAAUUACUGGGCGUAAAGCGCGCGUAGGCGGUCUGAUAAGCCGGCUGUGAAAGCCCCGGGCUCAACCUGGGAACGGCAUCCGGAACUGUCAGGCUAGAGUGCAGGAGAGGAAGGUAGAAUUCCCGGUGUAGCGGUGAAAUGCGUAGAGAUCGGGAGGAAUACCAGUGGCGAAGGCGGCCUUCUGGACUGACACUGACGCUGAGGUGCGAAAGCGUGGGUAGCAAACAGGAUUAGAUACCCUAGUAGUC